GGCGUUGUGCCGGAUAAUCGGGUUACUUUGAUGUGGUAAAAAAUGUGAGUGAAAAUCUUUCUGGCGCUA
Molecule: transfer RNA, 69 nt
Filed under: Iridona iridescens
Lineage: Eukaryota; Metazoa; Mollusca; Bivalvia; Cardiida; Tellinidae
Description: Moerella iridescens tRNA-Ile
Source: RNAcentral